CAAAAUCCGUGACAUCCUGAUAUAAAGUUGGAGCGCUUAUUUUGUUUUGGCAAAAUGUUUCAUCAGAUCUGCUGUAUUAUAGAUUAUCGGUUAGUACACCUACAUUUCAACUGCACGAUUAAAUUGUUAACCAAUCAAGUAGUUAAUAGCAGUCGAUGGAUGGCCAUAUGGUUCACAUUCGUUUGCCAUCUGAAGGACCAUGUUCAUAUCCCAGAUCUUACAUUUCUAAAUUUUUUACGAAUGAUCUUAGCCUUUCUCGAUCCUUCACUUGAUAGCGAAUCCCAUCAUUGAUUCACUGACUUACAGUGUGCAUUCGAAUGUCU
Molecule: long non-coding RNA, 323 nt
Filed under: Androctonus crassicauda
Lineage: Eukaryota; Metazoa; Arthropoda; Arachnida; Scorpiones; Buthidae
Source: RNAcentral